CCUACGGGAGGCUGCAGUAGGGAAUCUUGCUCAAUGGGGGAAACCCUGAAGCUGCAACGCCGCGUGGAGGAUGAAAGUUUUCGGAUUGUAAACUCCUUUUGUUAGAGAAGAUAAUGACGGUAUCUAACGAAUAAGCCCCGGCUAACUCCGUGCCAGCAGCCGCGGUAAUACGAAGGGUGCAAGCGUUACUCGGAAUCACGGGCCGUAAAGAGCGCGUAGGCGGGAUAGCAAGUCAGAUGUGAAAUCCUAUGGCUUAACCAUAGAACUGCAUGUGAAACUGGUAUUCUAGAGUAUGGGAGAGGUAGGUGGAAUUCUCGGUGUAGGGGUAAAAUCCGUAGAGAUCAAGAGGAAUACUCAUGGCGAAGGCGACCUGCUAGAACAUAACUGACGCUGAUGCGCGAAAGCGUGGGGAGCAAAAAGGAUUAGAUACCCGUGUAGUC
RNAcentral lists this ribosomal RNA (440 nucleotides) under uncultured bacterium. RNAcentral's name for it is "partial 16S ribosomal RNA". It matches the Rfam family "Bacterial small subunit ribosomal RNA", at positions 338 to 795 of the family's 1533-position model. The record is from RNAcentral.